GGGACACGUGGUAUCCUGUCUGAAUAUGGGGGGACCAUCCUCCAAGGCUAAAUACUCCUGACUGACCGAUAGUGAACCAGUACCGUGAGGGAAAGGCGAAAAGAACCCCGGCGAGGGGAGUGAAAAAGAACCUGAAACCGUGUACGUACAAGCAGUGGGAGCCUCUUUAUGGGGUGACUGCGUACCUUUUGUAUAAUGGGUCAGCGACUUAUAUUCUGUAGCAAGGUUAACCGAAUAGGGGAGCCGAAGGGAAACCGAGUCUUAACUGGGCGUUAAGUUGCAGGGUAUAGACCCGAAACCCGGUGAUCUAGCCAUGGGCAGGUUGAAGGUUGGGUAACACUAACUGGAGGACCGAACCGACUAAUGUUGAAAAAUUAGCGGAUGACUUGUGGCUGGGGGUGAAAGGCCAAUCAAACCGGGAGAUAGCUGGUUCUCCCCGAAAGCUAUUUAGGUAGCGCCUCGUGAAUUCAUCUCCGGGGGUAGAGCACUGUUUCGGCAAGGGGGUCAUCCCGACUUACCAACCCGAUGCAAACUGCGAAUACCGGAGAAUGUUAUCACGGGAGACACACGGCGGGUGCUAACGUCCGU
This 588-nucleotide ribosomal RNA is filed under the name Escherichia coli. RNAcentral's name for it is "partial 23S ribosomal RNA". It matches the Rfam family "Bacterial large subunit ribosomal RNA", at positions 419 to 1008 of the family's 2925-position model. Lineage: Bacteria; Pseudomonadati; Pseudomonadota; Gammaproteobacteria; Enterobacterales; Enterobacteriaceae. The record is from RNAcentral.